GCUUAGUACUGCUGUGCAACAGCCACUUUAGUAUAGUAUCAUUUAAUUUUUUAAAAGAAGAUACAAGUUACUGGCUCCACUCUAAGGCUUAAGCAGAAUCACUUUGCCAAGCUUACUUAGCUAGUAAAUGGCAGUGCUGGGUAUCCGUAUCAAAGUUUCUCUGCUGCGGGUUUUUUCCUGAUAAACUAGGCUGCCUCAUUUUUCAGCCCCUACUGUGUAAGGCACUAUAACUUAAAUUAUGUGAUAUUAUUGUCUCUUUAAAGAUAAAGAUAGACUUAGAUGAAGGUCCUUGCCCAGAGUCGCACAGUAAGGACAGACACACAGAAUACGGCAUUCCCAUCACAGCUGAAAGGACUAUUUCUGGCAAACAAUGUGUUUAUGGUGCAGAAGACUGAGAAAGAAGAACAUGGUCCCCCAUUCUACAUCCCUAUAAAUUCUGACAGACUUUUAGUUACAAAAUUAUUUUCAUUUUAGUCAGUCUCUGUGACAGACUUUAUUUUCUUGGGCUCCAAAAUCACUGCAGAUUGGUGACUGCAGCCAUGAAAUUAAAAGAUGCUUGCACCUUGGAAGAAAAGCUGUGACCAACCUAGAUGGCAUAUUAAAAAACAGACAUUAUUUUGCCAAAAAAGGUCUGUCUAAUCAAAGCUAUAGUUUUCCCAGUAGUCACAUAUGGAUGUGAGAGUCAGACCAUAAAGAAGACUGAGUGCCAAAGAAUUGAUACUUUUGAACUGUGGUGUUGGAGAAGACUCUUGAGAGCCCUUUGGACUGCAAGGAGAUCAAACCAGUCAAUCCUAAAGGAAAUCAGUCCUGAAUAUUCAUUGGAAGGACUGAUGCUAAAGUUGAAACUCCAAUACUUUGGCCACCUGAUGCGAAGAGCCGACUCAUUAGAAAAGACCCUGAUGCUGGGAAAGAUUGAGGGCAGGAGGAGAAGGGGAUGACAGAGGAUGAGAUGGUUGGAUGGCAUCACCAACUCAAUGGACAUGAGUUUGAGUAAGCUCUGGGAGAUGGUGAAGGACAGGGACGCCUGUUUUGCUGCAGUCCAUGGGGUCGCAAAGAGACUCAACCAAGCAACUGAAUAACAACAUAAUCAUGUUUACUCAUCUUCUUCUAAGGAUUCCCACCUUUUUGUCAGAGAUGCUGUGACUGUGACCUAUGGUAACUCAAACAUGGAACUGGAAGGCAUCAAGAUUUCGUAACCCAUUCUCAGACGUCUCUGCAGUGUUAGACCCUACAGUUAUAG
Long non-coding RNA from Bos taurus (domestic cattle), 1240 nucleotides. The record is from Ensembl. NCBI's taxonomy places the organism in Eukaryota, Metazoa, Chordata, Mammalia, Artiodactyla, Bovidae.